UGGGGAAUAUUGCACAAUGGGCGAAAGCCUGAUGCAGCGACGCCGCGUGAGUGAAGAAGUAUUUCGGUAUGUAAAGCUCUAUCAGCAGGGAAGAAAAUGACGGUACCUGACUAAGAAGCCCCGGCUAACUACGUGCCAGCAGCCGCGGUAAUACGCAGGGGGCAAGCGUUAUCCGGAUUUACUGGGUGUAAAGGGAGCGUAGACGGCGAAGCAAGUCUGAAGUGAAAACCCAGGGCUCAACCCUGGGAUUGCUUUGGAAACUGUUUUGCUAGAGUGUCGGAGAGGUAAGUCGAAUUCCUAGUGUAGCGGUGAAGAGCGUAGAUAUGAGGAGGAACACCAGUGGCGAAGGCGGCUUACUGGACGAUAACUGACGUUGAGGCUCGAAAGCGUGGGGAGCAAACAGG
This 404-nucleotide ribosomal RNA is filed under the name Fusobacteriota bacterium. Its description in RNAcentral is "Fusobacteria bacterium partial 16S ribosomal RNA". It matches the Rfam family "Bacterial small subunit ribosomal RNA", at positions 355 to 776 of the family's 1533-position model. The record is from RNAcentral. Lineage: Bacteria; Fusobacteriati; Fusobacteriota.